UACGAAGGUGGCAAGCGUUGUUCGGAUUUACUGGGCGUACAGGGAGCGUAGGUGGUUCGUUAAGUCUGAUGUGAAAGCCCUGGGCUCAACCUGGGAAUGGCAUUGGAUACUGGCGACCUAGAGUGCGGUAGAGGGGUGUGGAAUUCCCGGUGUAGCAGUGAAAUGCGUAGAUAUCGGGAGGAACAUCUGUGGCGAAGGCGACACCCUGGACCAGCACUGACACUGAGGCACGAAAGCGUGGGGAGCAAACAGG
RNAcentral lists this ribosomal RNA (253 nucleotides) under uncultured bacterium. RNAcentral describes it as "partial 16S ribosomal RNA". It matches the Rfam family "Bacterial small subunit ribosomal RNA", at positions 524 to 776 of the family's 1533-position model. The record is from RNAcentral.